UGGAUGGAGUCUUAUAGGGAUGAAGGGACACAUAGGGCACAUGGCAUGGGACCCAUUAGGGAUGGAUGGAUCUAUAAGGGAUGAAUGGGACCCAUAGGGAUGGAUGGGACACAUAGGGGAUGGAUGGGACACAUAGGGAUGGAUGGGAUCUAUAGGGGAUGGAUGGGAUCUAUAGGGGAUGGAUGGGAUCUAUAGGGAUGGAUGGGAUCUAUAGGGAUGGAUGGGACACAUAGGGAUGGAUGGGAUCUAUAGGGAUGGAUGGGAUCUAUAGGGGAUGGAUGGGACAUAUAGAGUGGUGAGACUAUAGGGAUGAGAUGGAUCUAUAGGGGGAUGCGGAUGGGAUCUAUAGGGGAUGGAGGGACACUAGGGAUGGAUGGGACACAUAG
This 386-nucleotide long non-coding RNA is filed under the name Coturnix japonica (Japanese quail). Its description in RNAcentral is "lncRNA (ENSCJPG00005002449.1)". The record is from RNAcentral. Lineage: Eukaryota; Metazoa; Chordata; Aves; Galliformes; Phasianidae.